AUGUCCUUUCAGCCGUGUCACAACUUAUCUGGAGCCCUUCCUAUGCCUACCCCAACCGUUAUGCUGUCAUCAGAGGCACCUGGAGGUUUCUGGGGUACUUGGCAGAGUGAUCCCGCAGUGACCGGUCACAGGAAAGACAUCAAGACUCAACAAGAAUUAUGGAUGGAACAAGUUAAGAUCUGUGUGUGGAGGCAGCCAGAAGCCCGGGCAUUAUGCACACGAGGGAAGAUCACCCGUACAGCACAGAGCUGCAGUUUGGCAGGGGAGGAAAGCAGUAACAAAGCAGACUGUACCAGGGAAGCUUUUGCAUUGUGGGGGAAGGCACAGGCAAUUGGAUUUAACCAUCUGGGUGGAAUUUGACUGGAUUAGCUUUGGCACAGUUUCACAUAGUCUUAAUUCAUCAGUGAAUGGAGUAACUAUAUUGGAAAACUACUGGAGAAAAACAACAUUGCCCCUGAUGCUACUGUCAUAGGCAGAUAAAGCACAAUCCCAUACAGUGUCUCUCUCUGUUUUUCUCUCUUCAUUGUCUCUCUAGCUAUUUUUUUCUUUUUUGUGCCAGUGUGUGUCUUCCCAUAUCAGGAUUGGCUGCCUUUUCUUGGUCUGAGAUCUUGGCAUGUAAAGAGCUAUAAUUACCCAAUGGUAUGGCAUGGUGACUACUAGCAAGGGUGGGACUGCCUCCUCUUGAACAAUAAAACCCCUUGUAUAGCAAAGCCUAACUAAACA
Molecule: long non-coding RNA, 723 nt
Filed under: Anser brachyrhynchus (Pink-footed goose)
Lineage: Eukaryota; Metazoa; Chordata; Aves; Anseriformes; Anatidae
Description: lncRNA (ENSABRG00000000388.1)
Source: RNAcentral